Terrapene triunguis (Three-toed box turtle) is the source of this 326-nucleotide long non-coding RNA. RefSeq lists it as uncharacterized. NCBI's taxonomy places the organism in Eukaryota, Metazoa, Chordata, Testudines, Emydidae. The transcript has 4 exons. The record is from RefSeq and is a predicted model, not a curated record.
UUCUCUCUUUCAUCAUCACCAUGCUUCCUGUACGUAUCCUGUUCCUGUACUCCCAGACCAGCGUGCUUGUAGAUUCUACUCCCAGCUCUGGAAGGGAGAGCAAAGCCCAGAGAUCCACUCCUCCUGUCGUAGGCAAACCAUCAUAAACAGCAGUGCAAGAACUCUGAAGACAAGAUUGGCUGGUUUCGCUUCUCCCUCACCCUGGAUCCCUUAUAGGAAUCACAGAUGGAUGAUUUGAGAUGAGCCUUAAAGGAAAGGAAAAUGUAUCUUUCUCUCCACCAGCAUCAACUGUAAGAGAGAAUUUGGGGCCUGAAGAUUAAAAGAUU